CCAGACUCCUACGGGAGGCAGCAGUGGGGAAUAUUGGGCAAUGGACGCAAGUCUGACCCAGCAACGCCGCGUGAAGGAAGAAGGCUUUCGGGUUGUAAACUUCUUUUAAGGGGGAAGAGUAGAAGACGGUACCCCUUGAAUAAGCCACGGCUAACUACGUGCCAGCAGCCGCGGUAAUACGGGGGGUGCAAGCGUUGUCCGGAAUCAUUGGGCGUAAAGCGUUCGUAGGCGGUAAAGUAAGUCAGAUGUUAAAGCCCGGGGCUCAACUCCGGUUCGGCAUUUGAUACUACUUGACUAGAAUGCGGUAGAGGUAAAGGGAAUUCCUGGUGUAGCGGUGAAAUGCGUAGAUAUCAGGAGGAACAUCGGUGGCGAAAGCGCUUUACUGGGCCGUUAUUGACGCUGAGGAACGAAAGCCAGGGUAGCAAACGGGAUUAGAUACCCCUGUAU
Molecule: ribosomal RNA, 447 nt
Filed under: uncultured bacterium
Lineage: Bacteria
Description: bacterial SSU rRNA
Rfam family: Bacterial small subunit ribosomal RNA
Source: RNAcentral